GAUAAACGCUGGCGGCGUGCCUAAUACAUGCAAGUCGAGCGAACGGACGAGAAGCUUGCUUCUCUGAUGUUAGCGGCGGACGGGUGAGUAACACGUGGAUAACCUACCUAUAAGACUGGGAUAACUUCGGGAAACCGGAGCUAAUACCGGAUAAUAUUUUGAACCGCAUGGUUCAAAAGUGAAAGACGGUCUUGCUGUCACUUAUAGAUGGAUCCGCGCUGCAUUAGCUAGUUGGUAAGGUAACGGCUUACCAAGGCAACGAUGCAUAGCCGACCUGAGAGGGUGAUCGGCCACACUGGAACUGAGACACGGUCCAGACUCCUACGGGAGGCAGCAGUAGGGAAUCUUCCGCAAUGGGCGAAAGCCUGACGGAGCAACGCCGCGUGAGUGAUGAAGGUCUUCGGAUCGUAAAACUCUGUUAUUAGGGAAGAACAUAUGUGUAAGUAACUGUGCACAUCUUGACGGUACCUAAUCAGAAAGCCACGGCUAACUACGUGCCAGCAGCCGCGGUAAUACGUAGGUGGCAAGCGUUAUCCGGAAUUAUUGGGCGUAAAGCGCGCGUAGGCGGUUUUUUAAGUCUGAUGUGAAAGCCCACGGCUCAACCGUGGAGGGUCAUUGGAAACUGGAAAACUUGAGUGCAGAAGAGGAAAGUGGAAUUCCAUGUGUAGCGGUGAAAUGCGCAGAGAUAUGGAGGAACACCAGUGGCGAAGGCGACUUUCUGGUCUGUAACUGACGCUGAUGUGCGAAAGCGUGGGGAUCAAACAGGAUUAGAUACCCUGGUAGUCCACGCCGUAAACGAUGAGUGCUAAGUGUUAGGGGGUUUCCGCCCCUAGUGCUGCAGCUAACGCAGUAAGCAGUCCGCCUGGGGAGUACGACCGCGAGGCUGAAACUCAAAGGAAUUGACGGGGACCCGCACAAGCGGUGGAGCAUGUGGUUUAAUUCGAAGCAACGCGAAGAACCUUACCAAAUCUUGACAUCCUUUGACAACUCUAGAGAUAGAGCCUUCCCCUUCGGGGGACAAAGUGACAGGUGGUGCAUGGUUGUCGUCAGCUCGUGUCGUGAGAUGUUGGGUUAAGUCCCGCAACGAGCGCAACCCUUAAGCUUAGUUGCCAUCAUUAAGUUGGGCACUCUAAGUUGACUGCCGGUGACAAACCGGAGGAAGGUGGGGAUGACGUCAAAUCAUCAUGCCCCUUAUGAUUUGGGCUACACACGUGCUACAAUGGACAAUACAAAGGGCAGCGAAACCGCGAGGUCAAGCAAAUCCCAUAAAGUUGUUCUCAGUUCGGAUUGUAGUCUGCAACUCGACUACAUGAAGCUGGAAUCGCUAGUAAUCGUAGAUCAGCAUGCUACGGUGAAUACGUUCCCGGGUCU
Molecule: ribosomal RNA, 1371 nt
Filed under: uncultured bacterium
Lineage: Bacteria
Description: bacterial SSU rRNA
Rfam family: Bacterial small subunit ribosomal RNA
Source: RNAcentral